Molecule: long non-coding RNA, 415 nt
Filed under: Setaria viridis
Lineage: Eukaryota; Viridiplantae; Streptophyta; Magnoliopsida; Poales; Poaceae
Description: long non-coding RNA (SVIR_LNC006005)
Source: RNAcentral
CAAGGCCAAGCUGGUUAUCUUCCCAAGGCGUGCUCGCAAGGUCAAGGUAUGGCCACUUUUCUUUUCCUGAAUGUGUCAUCUCUUCAAAACAUUGUCCAAAUUUCUUUCAGCCUCUAAUCCUUGGUCACCUACCUUCAUGGCAGGCUGGUGACUCAACUCCGGAGGAGCUUGCCACUGCCACCCAGGUCCAGGGUGACUACAUGCCUAUUACUCGUGGUGAGAAGCGCUCAGUUGAGGUUGUGAAGGUUACCGAUGAGAUGAAGACGUUCGCAGCCUAUGGCAAGCUACGCCUUGAGCGGAUGAACAAGAAGCACCUUGGUGCCCGCCAGAAGAAGGCUGCUGAGGCAGAGAAGGAAGAGAAGAAGUGAAGUGACCGGAUAUAGUACCCUGUUUGUUACAUUCCAGUCUUGUAGUG